AACGGCCGUACCAUGCUGAAUAUACCGAUUCUCGUUAGAUCACCGAAGUCAAGCAUCAUUGGGCGCGGUCAGUACUUGGGUGGGUGCCCACCUGGGAACACUGCGUGCCGUU
This 112-nucleotide ribosomal RNA is filed under the name Caerostris darwini. Lineage: Eukaryota; Metazoa; Arthropoda; Arachnida; Araneae; Araneidae. The record is from RNAcentral.